CCUGGCUCAGCCUCCGGAGUAGCUGAGACUAUAGGCGUCCGCCACCUCGCCCGGCUAGUUUUUUUGUAUUUUUUAGUAGAGACGGGUUUCACCAUGAUAGCCAGGAUGGUCUCGAUCUCCUGACCUCGUGAUCCGCCCGUCUCGGCCUCCCAAAAUGCUGGGAUUACAGGCUUGAGCCACCGCGCCCGGCCCUUUUCGCAUUUUCUUUAGAUUCAGCCCAGGGUCAGAAAUCCAGGCUCCUUUGCCCAUCUAAUAAGAAAGAAUGAAAGUUGAAAGCCACUCUCAGAAAUGGACAUGUAAGGAGACAUACCCAGAUCUGCAUUAUAGAAACAAAUGCUGAAGAACCAAUGCUGAGUAUUGGCUCAUAGAGACGAAGCAAAGAGAAGGGAGGAUUACUGAAGUAUAUAAUUUCAGUGUAAGUUAUACAAGGUAAGUCUUGACUGUAUAGAUGCAGUUACCUUAUUUUAAAAAAUCCAUCCAGCAAUAUAUUUAUUAUUUAU
RNAcentral lists this long non-coding RNA (500 nucleotides) under Rhinopithecus bieti (black snub-nosed monkey). RNAcentral describes it as "lncRNA (ENSRBIG00000045283.1)". Lineage: Eukaryota; Metazoa; Chordata; Mammalia; Primates; Cercopithecidae. The record is from RNAcentral.